AAAAAAACAUUAAAGUAACUAAACAACUUUAACUUCAGAUAGCUGGGUGUGGCUUCCGGACCCAUAUGGUGGAUACACAGUUCAAGGUGCUUAUAGUUUGUUAAUCUCUCAGGUACCUCAGGUCGUAGACUAUGCUCUGGAUUUGGUGUGGCACAAACUGGUUCCCUUGAAGGUUUCCGUUUUCGCGUGGAGGCUCAUUUGUGAUCGUUUACCGACAAGGACAAAUUUGAUUUCUAGACGGGUGUUGUCGCCUGACAUGUCCUCGUGCGUUGCUGGUUGUGGUCAUCCCGAAUCGGCACAUCAUCCUUUUUUAUUGUGUGACACUUUUGGUUCUCUGUGACAUUUGGUGCGAGAUUGGAUUGCUUGCUAUGGGGUGGACGCAGAUAAUAUUUUCGAUCAUUUUUUACAGUUCACUCAUUUGACAGGUGGUGGUGCUGUUAGACGUUCUUUUAUGCAACUAAUAUGGCUUCUAUGUGUCUGGGUUGUUUGGAAUGAACGAAAUAACCGUCUGUUUAAUCAUGUUGUUACCCCCAUCCCUUGUUUACUUGAUAAGGUUAAGUUGAUGUCUUUAGGUUGGCUGAAAGCUAAAAAAGCUACCUUUGUUUUUGGAACUCAACAGUGGUGGUCAAGCCCUCUUGUUUGUUUGGGUAUUGGCUAAUGUUUUUCAGUUGUGUCUUGUUUGUAACCGUUGUAACUCUUAGUUUCUGAGGUAGUCUCUAAGGCACACCUUGUGCGUUUGGGACUGCCCUAUUUCGUAUAUAAUUUUAUUUUGGCUUGUUC
Molecule: long non-coding RNA, 780 nt
Filed under: Medicago truncatula (barrel medic)
Lineage: Eukaryota; Viridiplantae; Streptophyta; Magnoliopsida; Fabales; Fabaceae
Description: lncRNA gene35002
Source: RNAcentral